GCAGCCAAGAUUAAAUUAUAUAUAGAUAACGGCUCAAGAAAAUAAGAUAGGAAUUGAACAAGUAACAAAAUAACAAUGUGUCUCGAGGAGCUGCAAAUUAUCAACAGCAGUAUCAUUGCCAGAACUUGCUGCCCGAAAAAAAGAGCAGUGGUUGUGAUCUGAAAUUGUUGAACUAAUUUUUCAGAUUGGAAAGCUGUAAACUGCUCAUCUGAAAGUUUAGGGUGUUAUUCCUCAAACAUCUAUGGAGUUUCACUGAAUGGUGCAGGAGGCCAAGGACAAGAACGACAAAGAUGUUGACUGGCUUAUUUCGUAUUCCAAAGGGCUUUCUGCUUGAGUAUCAAAUGAAGACCAGUUUGACAGAUUUGAGAUCAGAUGCUUCAGUGUGGUGGGCCCAGAGUUGAGUUUGAGUCCAGUUCAAGACCCAGCAGCUUCAGUGGACUCAUGGAGGCAAUGAUGUCGGUUGGAGGCAAGGUGGUGCCAAAGAAUGGCAACACAGUUCCAGCGAUGGCAUCGCAGCUGAGCUCAGGUACCUGAUAACAAUGUGCAGGGACUCAAGUCACCUGAGUGUUCACAGACUGAAGAAUGGACUUGGUGGCUUUGUUUUUCCUGGCAGCGAAGACUCAUGGCGAAGCGAUGUGGACGUUUCCUUUUCCUUUGGCUGGUUCUUUUAUUUCUGCUUCCGUUUUUAAUCCUGUCUUUUGAAUACUGAGAUAGCACUUGAGAAUAGUGACUUUGUACACUAUUCGCUGUACUAAUGUAUUCCUAUACUUGAG
Long non-coding RNA from Stegostoma tigrinum, 773 nucleotides. RefSeq lists it as uncharacterized. The transcript is spliced from 3 exons. NCBI's taxonomy places the organism in Eukaryota, Metazoa, Chordata, Chondrichthyes, Orectolobiformes, Stegostomatidae. The record is from RefSeq and is a predicted model, not a curated record.